Molecule: unclassified non-coding RNA, 102 nt
Organism: Cercocebus atys (sooty mangabey)
Lineage: Eukaryota; Metazoa; Chordata; Mammalia; Primates; Cercopithecidae
Rfam family: Y RNA
About the family: Y RNAs are components of the Ro ribonucleoprotein particle (Ro RNP), in association with Ro60 and La proteins. The Y RNAs and Ro60 and La proteins are well conserved, but the function of the Ro RNP is not known.
Source: Ensembl
GGCUGGUCUGAGUGAAGUAGUGUAUACAACUAAUUGAGUACAACUAGUUACAGAUUUCUUUGUUCCUUCUCCACUCCCACUGCUUCACCUGACUAGCUUAAA